CCUACGGGAGGCAGCAGUGAGGAAUAUUGGUCAAUGGGCGCGAGCCUGAACCAGCCAAGUCGCGUGAGGGAAGACGGUCCUAUGGAUUGUAAACCUCUUUUGUCGGGGAGCAAAAGACGCCACGCGUGGCGUUCCGAGAGUACCCGAAGAAAAAGCAUCGGCUAACUCCGUGCCAGCAGCCGCGGUAAUACAGAGGAUGCGAGCGUUAUCCGGAGUUAUUGGGUUUAAAGGGUGCGCAGGCGGAAGAUCAAGUCAGCGGUAAAAUUGAGGGGCUCAACCUCUUCGAGCCGUUGAAACUGGUUGUCUUGAGUGAGCGAGAAGUAUGCGGAAUGCGUGGUGUAGCGGUGAAAUGCAUAGAUAUCACGCAGAACUCCGAUUGCGAAGGCAGCAUACCGGCGCUCAACUGACGCUCAUGCACGAAAGUGUGGGUAUCGAACAGGAUUAGAUACCCGAGUAGUC
RNAcentral lists this ribosomal RNA (459 nucleotides) under uncultured bacterium. Its description in RNAcentral is "partial 16S ribosomal RNA". It matches the Rfam family "Bacterial small subunit ribosomal RNA", at positions 338 to 795 of the family's 1533-position model. The record is from RNAcentral.